RNAcentral lists this ribosomal RNA (449 nucleotides) under uncultured bacterium. Its description in RNAcentral is "partial 16S ribosomal RNA". It matches the Rfam family "Bacterial small subunit ribosomal RNA", at positions 29 to 523 of the family's 1533-position model. The record is from RNAcentral.
AAUGAACGCUGGCGGCAUGCCUAACACAUGCAAGUCGAACGAGACCUUCGGGUCUAGUGGCGCACGGGUGCGUAACGCGUGGGAAUCUGCCCUUGGGUUCGGAAUAACUCGCCGAAAGGCGUGCUAAUACCGGAUGAUGACGUAAGUCCAAAGAUUUAUCGCCCAAGGAUGAGCCCGCGUAGGAUUAGCUAGUUGGUGGGGUAAAGGCCCACCAAGGCGACGAUCCUUAGCUGGUCUGAGAGGGUGAUCAGCCACACUGGGACUGAGACACGGCCCAGACUACUACGGGAGGCAGCAGUGGGGAAUAUUGGACAAUGGGCGAAAGCCUGAUCCAGCAAUGCCGCGUGAGUGAUGAAGGCCUUAGGGUUGUAAAGCUCUUUUACCCGGGAUGAUAAUGACAGUACCGGGAGAAUAAGCCCCGGCUAACUCCGUGCCAGCAGCCGCGGUAA